This 473-nucleotide ribosomal RNA is filed under the name uncultured organism. RNAcentral describes it as "partial 16S ribosomal RNA". It matches the Rfam family "Bacterial small subunit ribosomal RNA", at positions 334 to 798 of the family's 1533-position model. The record is from RNAcentral.
CACUCCUACGGGAGGCAGCAGUGGGGAAUUUUGGACCAUGGGCGAAAGCCUGACCCAGCAAUGCCGCGUGAGUGAAGAAGGCCUUCGGGUUGUAAAGCUCUUUUGUCAGGGAAGAAACGGUGAAAGCUAAUAUCUUUUGCUAAUGACGGUACCUGAAGAAUAAGCACCGGCUAACUACGUGCCAGCAGCCGCGGUAAUACGUAGGGUGCAAGCGUUAAUCGGAAUUACUGGGCGUAAAGCGUGCGCAGGCGGUUUUGUAAGUCUGAUGUGAAAUCCCCGGGCUCAACCUGGGAAUUGCAUUGGAGACUGCAAGGCUAGAAUCUGGCAGAGGGGGGUAGAAUUCCACGUGUAGCAGUGAAAUGCGUAGAUAUGUGGAGGAACACCGAUGGCGAAGGCAGCCCCCUGGGUCAAGAUUGACGCUCAUGCACGAAAGCGUGGGGAGCAAACAGGAUUAGAUACCCGUGUAGUCCCAU